This 843-nucleotide ribosomal RNA is filed under the name uncultured Gammaproteobacteria bacterium. Its description in RNAcentral is "bacterial SSU rRNA". It matches the Rfam family "Bacterial small subunit ribosomal RNA", at positions 35 to 867 of the family's 1533-position model. The record is from RNAcentral. Lineage: Bacteria; Pseudomonadati; Pseudomonadota; Gammaproteobacteria.
GCUGGCGGCAUGCUUAACACAUGCAAGUCGAACGGAAACGAUGGAAGCUUGCUUCCAGGCGUCGAGUGGCGAACGGGUGAGUAAUGCUUGGGAAUCUGCCUAAUAGUGGGGAACAACUCGGGGAAACUCGGGCUAAUACCGCAUAAUCUCUUCGGAGGAAAGGGGGCCUCUACAUGUAAGCUCUCGCUAAUAGAUGAGCCCAAGUCAGAUUAGCUUGUUGGUAAGGUAACGGCUUACCAAGGCAACGAUCUGUAGCUGGUCUGAGAGGAUGAUCAGCCACACUGGGACUGAGACACGGCCCAGACUCCUACGGGAGGCAGCAGUGGGGAAUAUUGCACAAUGGGCGAAAGCCUGAUGCAGCAAUGCCGCGUGUGUGAAGAAGGCUCUAGGGUUGUAAAGCACUUUCAAUAAGGAAGAAAAGCAUGAGAUUAAUAACCUUAUGUAUUGACAUAACUUAUACAAGAAGCACCGGCUAAUUCCGUGCCAGCAGCCGCGGUAAUACGGAAGGUGCAAGCGUUAAUCGGAAUUACUGGGCGUAAAGCGCGCGUAGGCUGUUAUCUAAGUCGGAUGUGAAAUCCUCGGGCUCAACCUGGGAACUGCAUCCGAAACUGAAUAACUAGAGUAUGGGAGAGGUAAGUAGAAUUUCCGGUGUAGCGGUGAAAUGCGUAGAUAUCGGAAGGAAUACCAGUGGCGAAGGCGGCUUACUGGACCAAUACUGACGCUGAGGUGCGAAAGCGUGGGGAGCGAACAGGAUUAGAUACCCUGGUAGUCCACGCCGUAAACGAUGAGAACUAGAUGUUGGGAGGGUUAGCCUCUCAGUGUCGCAGCUAACGCAUUAAGUUC